AAACCAACAAACCCUCAUCAAUACCCCCUAAGACACCUUAAGUAGCACUUAACAAACCAUUUUUCCCCCCUAGUACGGGCGACAGAAAAGGAACCCCCCCGCGCUAUAGAGAAAGUACCGCAAGGGAAAG
Molecule: ribosomal RNA, 130 nt
Filed under: Cynoscion xanthulus
Lineage: Eukaryota; Metazoa; Chordata; Actinopteri; Sciaenidae
Description: partial 16S ribosomal RNA
Source: RNAcentral